CGGAGGGUGCGAGCGUUGUUCGGAAUUAUUGGGCGUAAAGCGCGUGUAGGCGGCUCCUUAAGUCUGAUGUGAAAGCCCCGGGCUCAACCUGGGAAGUGCAUUGGAAACUGGGGAACUUGAAUACGGGAGAGGGUAGUGGAAUUCCUGGUGUAGGAGUGAAAUCCGUAGAUAUCAGGAGGAACACCGGUGGCGAAGGCGGCUACCUGGACCGAUAUUGACGCUGAGACGCGAAAGCGUGGGGAGCAAACAGGAUUAGAUACCCUGGUAGUCCACGCCGUAAACGAUGAGUACUAGGUGUUGCGGGUAUUGACCCCUGCAGUGCCGCAGCUAACGCAUUAAGUACUCCGCCUGGAAGUACGGUCGCAAGACUA
RNAcentral lists this ribosomal RNA (371 nucleotides) under uncultured organism. RNAcentral's name for it is "bacterial SSU rRNA". It matches the Rfam family "Bacterial small subunit ribosomal RNA", at positions 526 to 896 of the family's 1533-position model. The record is from RNAcentral.